RNAcentral lists this ribosomal RNA (318 nucleotides) under Triticum aestivum (bread wheat). RNAcentral describes it as "partial small subunit ribosomal RNA". The record is from RNAcentral. Lineage: Eukaryota; Viridiplantae; Streptophyta; Magnoliopsida; Poales; Poaceae.
AUGCCUCCCGGCGGCGUAGCGGGUGCAAACGUGGAAGCCAGCGUCCAGACGAGGCUCUGCAGUAUGAACUUCAUCCCUUUCUCGCUCGCUCGCUCCUCUAUUUUUCUACGAGCCAGCCACUGUCCCUCAAGCAAGCAACAUGGCCAAAUUCGUGGCACCUCGUCUUCACUUCCAUCACCACAUCUACACAAAGGAAAUGUGCAAUCCUCAGCUAUAUCCAAACUUAACCAUGAUCCACUAGCUAGCUUUCGAUUUCGACUAGUUGUUGCGUCUGCUACUCUGCUAUGCCGGUUGCUAUAUUAUUCAGUCGAUGGUUAG